Octopus bimaculoides (California two-spot octopus) is the source of this 1327-nucleotide long non-coding RNA. RefSeq lists it as uncharacterized. NCBI's taxonomy places the organism in Eukaryota, Metazoa, Mollusca, Cephalopoda, Octopoda, Octopodidae. The record is from RefSeq and is a predicted model, not a curated record.
UAACCACCAUCAACCGAUGAUUGGCACACAAACACAAAACAUAUGCAUACAUGAACGUGAAAACUUGUGAUAUAUGUAUGUAUGUAUGUAUGUAGGAAGGUAGGUAGGUAGGUAGGUAGGUAGGUAGGUAUGUAUAGUUAUAUAUAUAUGUGUGUGUGUGUGUGUGUGUGCGUACAGGGAGGAAAUGGGAGUAAGGAUGGGAACAGAAUAGAGGGGAGAAAUUACGCAUUUAUUUAUUUAGUUGAUCCUCCCGUAAAGAUAUAAGGUGAUACACAAUCAUUCAACCAUGAGUGCAUUGCAUCUUAUAGCAGAAACAACUGUAAGCUAAUGCAGCACAUUUCCCUUCCGCGUACGAAUUAUCCGGCAUGUUGCUACAAAUUGUGCGUCUACUACUCACUCUUACGCACACGCCGUGCAACAAAUGCCAGGUACUUGACCCAGAUGCAAGACAAUGUGACUGAACUCGCAAUAUCAUGAUUAUGAAGAAAGCUUCCUAACAAUUCCCUUACGCUGUGUCCACACCUACAGACUCAUACACUCGUACACAAACAAACACACACGUAUACACUCACACAUAUAGAAAUGAUGUAACUGAAUACGCUGGAAAUAACGUGUAUGAACAGAUAUUUAAAUACCCGUAUAUAACAUCAUUUGUGCUAAACAAACAUUACUGCCAUUGAGUAUAGUUUAACCGAGUCUUAUACACACACACACACACACAUAUAUAUAUAACAUAAAAGAAUAAGGAUCUGGAAUCCGAGCAGGAACCUAACUAGUACUUUGCUGGAUGUUCCCUACCAUUGAAUGAUUGGGAGCAUACAGAAUUGUUUAACAUUUACACGGUACUUUUCUCAAUAGGUAAAUCCAGAUUUCGCUUCAUUGGAUUCCCUUCAGCAUACAAGUCAUUUGACUACGGCCAUGCUGGGGCACCGCCUUGAUACGUAGACCAAUUUUGAGCUAAUUUUAAGAAACAGGGAAAUGCAUAUUUGUCACAUACCUGGCUAAUUCUCGUAGGAAAGUUUUGAAAUGCGGACAUUCGGAAUCUGCCAAAUGCACUCACAAGGCUUUGAUCGACCCGAGGCCACAGUAAAAGACAUUUGCUUAAGGUGCUAUGCUGAGGGACUGAACCCUGAACCAUGUGGCUGAGAAGCAGGCUUCUUACCACGCAACCACGCCUGUGCCAUACGUUAUCUUCAUAAAGUUGAAAUGCAAAGUUAACCUCGACAGGAUUUAAACUCAAAACGAAAAUGUCCGGAAUUAAUAUCGUCUUUUGCUCCCUCACUUCGUCAGUUCUAUCACUUUCCUAAUAAACGUUGUAUGAUAUUUA